UACGUAGGCAGCAAGCGUUGUUCGGAGUUACUGGGCGUAAAGGGUGUGUAGGCGGUUGGAUAAGUGUGGUGUGAAAUCUCCCGGCUCAACUGGGAGGGUGCGCUACAAACUGUCUGACUAGAGUGUGGGAUGGGAAAGUGGAAUUCCUGGUGUAGCGGUGAAAUGCGUAGAUAUCAGGAGGAACACCGGUGGUGUAGACGGCUUUCUGGACCAUAACUGACGCUGAGACACGAAAGCGUGGGUAGCAAACAGG
Molecule: ribosomal RNA, 253 nt
Filed under: uncultured bacterium
Lineage: Bacteria
Description: partial 16S ribosomal RNA
Rfam family: Bacterial small subunit ribosomal RNA
Source: RNAcentral